This 443-nucleotide ribosomal RNA is filed under the name uncultured bacterium. RNAcentral's name for it is "SSU rRNA". It matches the Rfam family "Bacterial small subunit ribosomal RNA", at positions 26 to 518 of the family's 1533-position model. The record is from RNAcentral.
AGAACGAACGCUGGCGGCAGGCUUAACACAUGCAAGUCGAGCGCCCCGCAAGGGGAGCGGCAGACGGGUGAGUAACGCGUGGGAACGUACCCCCCGGUUCGGAAUAACUCAGGGAAACUUGAGCUAAUACCGGAUACGGCUGGAAGGCGAAAGAUUCAUCGCCGGGGGAUCGGCCCGCGUCCGAUUAGCUAGUUGGUGUGGUAACGGCGCACCAAGGCGACGAUCGGUAGCUGGUCUGAGAGGAUGAUCAGCCACAUUGGGACUGAGACACGGCCCAAACUCCUACGGGAGGCAGCAGUGGGGAAUAUUGGACAAUGGGCGCAAGCCUGAUCCAGCCAUGCCGCGUGAGUGAUGAAGGCCUUAGGGUUGUAAGGCUCUUUCACCCACGACGAUAAUGACGGUAGUGGGAGAAGAGCCCCGGCUAACUUCGUGCCAGCAGCCGC